CAGUGUAGGGAUCGCCGCGUUCGAUCCCUGCGGCGUGACCUGGGACCGGCGCCCAGGUGGUCCAGAGAGCUUCAGGCCCCCCAGCCCGGGAGCCCUAGCCGUGAGCGAAAGGAGAGUGCUCGCUGGACACAGGCCGCGACGCGGGCCGCGGGGCGCCGAGCGAAGUUUGGCCACUCGCGGCCCCCGUAUCGGACGGAAGCGGAGUCCCUUGGACUGGACCUUACUGAUUUGUGCUGUCCCUGGAAGGUUCCCAGGGCCCUUUCACACAAUUUGAUAGUGGGGAUUCGAAAUAGGUGGAGAAAAGAGCCAUGAGGUACGGAGUCAGAAGCACCCACGCCUCAGCGGGCCGUGGCCGUCCAAUCUAGGGAGCCACUACCUGAGGGCUUCCUAUUCGUGGGUAAAUAAGCCCCCUUCCCACAGACGGCUGGGCUCCAUUGCUGUGGAAUCUGGGUUUCUUUGCCAUUCUCAUUCUGUCACCGCCGAGGUUGUUAGGGCCAUUGAUUCUAGGGCUCCCCGCAGCCCAGAUCCUGCCUAACUCUUCCGCCUAUUCAGACCGUACCAUUCAGACCGUGCCAUUCGUGUUCUCAGAAGACUGAUCUUGUCUUCACAAAUAUGAAGAAAGUGAGUGGUGUCUUGGUGCUAGACAUGCUCUAAAUGCUACUGCCUGUUUCCACAAAGCAAAAAGCCCAUGUGCCAACAGCUUGUACACGCUCAACACUCCUGCCUCUUACAGUCUUAAAAUUAUGCUAUGAGUACCUGAGACCCUACAACACUGCCUUUAUGAUAACAGAGCAUCAGAAAUGGAAAGAAUACAACACAUUUGAAGAGAGAAAGUUUCUUGGCAAAGAGGCUAAAGAAUAGGACUGAGAGUUGUAAAUCUGUGCUUUGCUUUCAGUACCUCAGCAGAGCAAGCCUUUUCAAUUUUUCAGUUUUGGAAGAAUGUUCAGUUUUGAAAGAAAUCUUAAGCAGAUAACAGCAAGCCAAGAGGGGCCUGAAGUAGUGCCCACUUUCUGUGGUCUGUGGGGCUCCUUGGGACCUGUAGGCUCCCCGGGCCAUCAUUUAAAACUGUUGGUCCAGAGUUAGCACAAAAUAAGAAUCAAAGAUUGGGCAAGUAAAGGCACUUGCCACCAAGUCUGACAAUCUUUUUGAU
Long non-coding RNA from Nannospalax galili (Upper Galilee mountains blind mole rat), 1150 nucleotides. RefSeq lists it as uncharacterized. NCBI's taxonomy places the organism in Eukaryota, Metazoa, Chordata, Mammalia, Rodentia, Spalacidae. The record is from RefSeq and is a predicted model, not a curated record. The transcript is spliced from 3 exons.